UGAAGCCAUCGACCAGCGUAACCAGCA
This 27-nucleotide non-coding RNA is filed under the name Mus musculus (house mouse). The record is from RNAcentral. Lineage: Eukaryota; Metazoa; Chordata; Mammalia; Rodentia; Muridae.